RNAcentral lists this ribosomal RNA (465 nucleotides) under uncultured bacterium. RNAcentral describes it as "partial 16S ribosomal RNA". It matches the Rfam family "Bacterial small subunit ribosomal RNA", at positions 28 to 507 of the family's 1533-position model. The record is from RNAcentral.
GAUGAACGCUGGCGGCGUGCUUAACACAUGCAAGUCGAACGGAAAGGCUCCUGCUUGCAGGGGUACUCGUGUGGCGAACGGGUGAGUAACACGUGGGUGAUCUGCCCUGCACUUCGGGAUAAGCCUGGGAAACUGGGUCUAAUACCGGAUAGGACGAUGGUUUGGAUGCCAUUGUGGACAGUUUUUCGGUGUGGGAUGAGCUCGCGGCCUAUCAGCUUGUUGGUGGGGUAAUGGCCUACCAAGGCGUCGACGGGUAGCCGGCCUGAGAGGGUGUACGGCCACAUUGGGACUGAGAUACGGCCCAGACUCCUACGGGAGGCAGCAGUGGGGAAUAUUGCACAAUGGGCGCAAGCCUGAUGCAGCGACGCCGCGUGGGGGAUGACGGCCUUCGGGUUGUAAACUCCUUUCGCUAGGGACGAAGCGCAAGUGACGGUACCGGGAGAAGAAGCACCGGCUAACUACGUG